RNAcentral lists this long non-coding RNA (739 nucleotides) under Physcomitrium patens. Its description in RNAcentral is "long non-coding RNA (PPAT_LNC005987)". Lineage: Eukaryota; Viridiplantae; Streptophyta; Bryopsida; Funariales; Funariaceae. The record is from RNAcentral.
UGAGUAAAAUUUUGUAUGUUAAUGGUUAUAAUUGUAUUUAAUAUGUAUUUUAAAUUUUAACUUAAUCUAAUAGUUGAAUUGAGGAUUAUUGAGGUUUAAGUGGAUUAGGAUCUCAGAAAGUAGAGUUUUAGGUGUACUAAGGAUUUCUAAGAUUUCUUGCAAUCUACAAAUUGGAUUGAAGUAAAAGUUAUGUGAGUGGAUAGAAGACUUGUUUUUCUACAUAUAUGAGAAUUUUGAGAUCAAUCGAAUAGUAUAAAAAGAAGCUGUUAGCACUAGAAGAUCAACAUUAAGGUUGAAAAAGAAGGCUAGCCAACAUCUGAGCAGACUUUAGGAUUUUUCUUCCAUUUGGUAAGUGCGAUUAUCUUUAAGUUUGUUGUACUUAUUUAUAUCAAGAAAUUAAGAGGUAUAUAAAUUUUUAAAAAUAUCAACGGUUUAAUCAAAAGAUACUAAGAUUCUAAACUACUUUAGGAUUUAAUUUAGGAUUUAGAAUUUAAUUAAGCUUUGAUUUAGGAUUAGAAUUUUGUUAGGAUUUGAUUUAGAAUUAGGAUUUGAUUAGGAUUUGAUUUAGAAUUUAGGAUUUGGUUAGGAUUUGGGAUUUAUCCAGGGUUUGGUUAGAGUUUAGUUUAGGAUUUAGGAGUCAUUUAGGAUUUGAUUAGGAUUUGGAAUCUAUCUAGGGUUUGGUUAGAGUUUAAUUUAGGAUUCAAGAUUCAUUUAGGAUUAGGUUUAAAAUUUAGAGUUU